Unclassified non-coding RNA from Stegodyphus dumicola, 948 nucleotides. The record is from RefSeq and is a predicted model, not a curated record. Lineage: Eukaryota; Metazoa; Arthropoda; Arachnida; Araneae; Eresidae.
CUUUACUAACUACUUUAAUUAAGUUGAUUUUAAAGUUCUAGGAGAUGGCAAUAGGUAAGAAUAAUUAUGGCUGCCAAAUUGUUAUCUUUUGCUAUCGGGCAACUCAAAAGCAAAGAAUUUAGGACAUAUCUCUGCAGCACUCACUUUUGGGGACCUGUGGCAAACUGGGGCAUUCCUAUUGCAGCAAUAUCAGACAUAAAAAAGGAUCCUAGCAUAAUUAGUGGGAAAAUGACUUUAGCUUUGUGCAUAUAUUCUCUACUUUUUAUGAGAUUUGCAUGGAAAGUUCAACCUCGGAAUUUAUUAUUGUUUGCUUGUCACUUUACAAAUGAAGCUGCUCAGAUAACUCAAGGAUGUCGACUUAUAAAACACGAAUAUUGAGCGUGGAUACUCGGAAGAUUAUUUAACCAAAGAUAUGCUACUUUCAUUGAUGGAACUGGUUGGCAAAGAGUUUAUAAGUAUUUAAGUCCCUCAGGAUAAACAGAUGAAAUAUAUUGUUGAUGUAGUUGAAUUUGUUAUAUUUUGUCCUUGAAAUUUUAAUUUAUUGCUGUAACUUAUAGGUAGGUUAGAUGUGUGAUUAUCACUUGUUUCCUGGAUGCUAAUAUAUGUACACUAAAAGUUAAUUUCUAUUGAUUAUUCUGUGCAAUAAAAUUUUGUUAUUUUUUAUUUGUGAAUAGAUGUUUGUGCAUUACCUUCAGAGCAAAAAUCUAUUAAACUACGAUUGAAAAUAGUUCGAAAGUACAAUAAAUUGUAUGCAAGCGUUGUUAAUGUUUAUAAAGCUUCAUUCUCAGAAUUGACUUGUCUGUAAGAAGUUCUAAUUAUGUUUUACUGUAUAGAUUUGUAGCCUGUACACAUUAAUCAACAGACAUGCUAGAAACAAUAUGCGUUUAUAAUUUGGAAUUAUACUUGCAAUACUGUUAUAGCAAUAAAACUUCAAUUUUUUUUUGCAUU